Molecule: transfer RNA, 55 nt
Filed under: Leipothrix sp. 1 XFX-2017
Lineage: Eukaryota; Metazoa; Arthropoda; Arachnida; Trombidiformes; Eriophyidae
Description: tRNA-Trp
Source: RNAcentral
AAGAUUCUAAGUUAAAUGAAACUAAUUGCUUUCAAAGCUUUAAAUAGUGAUCUUG